Molecule: small nucleolar RNA, 107 nt
Organism: Hevea brasiliensis (rubber tree)
Lineage: Eukaryota; Viridiplantae; Streptophyta; Magnoliopsida; Malpighiales; Euphorbiaceae
Source: RefSeq, a predicted model, not a curated record
AGUCCAUGGUGUGGACACCUUCUCACCAAAUCCUUGAAUCUAUCCUAAGCUUCAUAAAGUGUCUCCAUAUCCAUCUGAGUAAACAUUUGGAUAUCAUUUCUCAGUUU